Molecule: long non-coding RNA, 6853 nt
Organism: Taeniopygia guttata (zebra finch)
Lineage: Eukaryota; Metazoa; Chordata; Aves; Passeriformes; Estrildidae
Source: Ensembl
UUUUUUUUUUUUUUGGAUAUUCUAUAUCUCAUAUCACACAUGAGGUUAGACGGUGUCUGAGUUAUUCCUUCUGGUCUUGAAAGGCAACCAGACAGAGCUCUUAAUUAAUAGUGUUACAUUAAUCACCUAGAGAGAGGCCAGGAGCUGCUGGCUCCCAGCGUGGAGAGAAUGGCUGGGUAGAACAGUGCUGACCACAGGGCUGAACCACAGCCCUGGUCAAUACACUACCAGACUUCCAACUGGCUGUGCAACUGCACAAAACUAAUUUUGACAAGAUGACUUUUAAGGACCCCUCCAGCCCAGGCCACUCUAUAAUUCCAUGAUUCCAAGAUUCAGUUUGCUAAGACUGAAACAUCAAUGGGAAGAUAAAGUACCAUGUGUAUAUGCCCACAGUUUCCCUUCCUCCCCAUCUCAUUCUCACUCACCCAUACACACAUAAUACAUGUGAUUCUGGAUAAUCUAAGUUCUGUCAAAACAGAUUGAGCACAUAGCCUUAAUCAUCUGAGUCACUCUGCAGGAGAAGUAUCAGUAGAACAGAAUGGAAAAGCUCAAUCAGUUUCAUUCUCUAUGAAAGCCAUUUCUUCCUGGCUUUCAAGAGCUCGCUUCUGCCCCCUCCCCUCUUAUUUCUGACUGCCAUUUCCAGGAAGUAGUUUAACCAUUUUCCAUAGAAACAUUUUUUUUUUCCUCACUGAGAAAACGUUUAAUGUUUCGGCUGGGCUAAAAUAAUAAUUACACAAAAGCGAACCUAAAAAUCAUCAAAUAGCUCUUACUGUGUAGAUGUGGAGGAUAGUGGGAGGAAAAGAAAGUAGGAAGAGAGAAGUCACAACAGAAAUUCUUUCUCUCAAAACGUAUUUUUUUCUGAAUCAAAAUAGAUUUUAACUGCUUUUAACUGAUGCUUUGUAACAAUAUCCAUUCCUCACUAUGAAAAUGAAGUCUUCAAAUAGAGCACAACUGAAUUAUUUCACAUACCAGUUGGAAAGCAAGAGGCCUCUUAUGACCUUGAGAAAUGUUUUGAUCAGUGACACUUUCAAUGAUGUCAGGAAACUGUACCUUAUUGGAAUAAAGGAAUUGCUUUCAGAAAGUGUGAUAUAAUUCCAGCUCAACUUCUCCCAAAGUUUGUGGGUAUUUUCAGAUAAAUUCUGAAGUUCUUACGCAUACUCAGGAGUACCUCAAGUUGUGACUGACUAAUUAAUUAAUUUUUCCAAGAAUAUUCAUAAAAUAACCUGUUAUGUAAGCUGAGCUUUUUCAGAAGAGAUAGAUGGAGAAGCAUCAUUCCUUUAAAAAUGAAUAGUGAUGUGGCCUUCAGGUUUUAAUAAAUUUUAACUUAGUGGUGCCUGGUACAUGUUUACUCAUUGACCAUGAAUCAGCUGUGUAUGGACAGUGAGAUUUGUUUCCUGUCAGCCUCAGCUAGAGCAUAUGAUUUUCAGUAACCGUAAAGAUUCUAGUACAGAAGGUAUCAUAUGGAAAGGGUGAUGUCUAUUUCACAUGUCUAAAUCUUUGCCUGACUCAUAGAGUUAGGAAUGUUUGAACUAUUUAAAGGUAUUAUAUGUGCAUUUAAAGUUAGGCCAUAUGUUUAAAUACCAUAGUUAAUUUUUUUUUGUUGUUGUUGCUGUUGAGCCUGGGUGAAUUGUUGUCUCUGCAGUAUUCUGUGACAUUACCACAGCCAAUAAUUUUGUGUCUUGUAGGGUCCUCAUUUCAACAUUUCUGUGGAAUAUUAUUAAAGUAUCUGCUUCAGCCCAACUUCCUUUGCUUCAUUUUAGCUUUUUAAAUUUUUCUAGUAUUUCACAAAGUGUAGACAUUAAGAACAGUAAUAGUACUUCAUGUGUUGUCAAUAACAGAGUUGGAGAAAAGCUACUGGCAAAGGCUAAAACACCUUUCAAACCCUUACUUCCAGAAAUAAAGAUACUCACUCAUCCACUUAGAACUGCGCUUGAACACUGACCAGGCAAAAGAUGAAUAUAUUAGACACUAUAUAUAGGAAAUAAGGGGAUGAGAUUGCAAUUAUAGAUUUUAUGUAGCAAUGAGGAACCUCAGAAGAGCACACCUAUUUCUCCCAGUGAUGAAAAUUUGGCUGUAAAAGUCACUUAAAAUAUUAUGAGUGCUUUACAGAGCAAAGCAAUGACACAUUUGUGAAGUGCAACCUCUAAAAAGCUUUUUAUACUUGGAUCACCAGUAUCACCAGGGUAUUAUGUGUUGGUUUGAUAGACAGUACAUCUUCCUUAGGAAAUACUUGGGUCAGUCGCAGUGCCUGCUUUGUGUAUUAGGACCUGAGAUAUCAUGUUUUACAAGCAGAGAUGUCUGUUAGAUACCUUACAAGUGCAUUUUAUAUAGACUGUGUAACCAAAAUAUAGAAGGCUAACUGGUACAAAACCUCAUUAAGUUGGACAACAGUAGUGUUACAGAUGUGGACUCCCCAAGGAACUUUGUCAUUUUAAAGCAUUAGGGUCAGUUUGACUUCAGGAAGACUGCAUUUUGCAUGUGUACUAUGGGAUAAAAGUCAGCUUUUACAGAGAGCUUUCUACCUAUGAGAGUUGCAGGACUGCUGUUGGCAUUUCUCUUUUGCUGGGCUGUGUUCCCAGUCCCACUCUGAGACUUUGGGCAGCCUCAUGAUAGGGCUGGCAAAGUACACAAAUAAUACAGCAACAGUGACCAGAUAGGAGGGAACAAUACCCUCCAUAAGGUAUUUUUAUCAGUGAAUAUCAGUGGUACCAUCAGUGACUAAACAUUCUUCACUACAUGCAGUAGGAAAGGUAUAACAAGUGGCUUCAAAUAUGUGGUUUGCUGAAAAUAAGGUAUUUUAUUGGAACCGUCUCUGAAAGGACAUUUUGUUUUUCUUAAGUUACAAUUUUCAUUUUGUUUCAGCACUAUCAAAAUCAAAUAAUUUUGUCUGGCAAAUUAUUUUUCAUUUGGUUUCAAAUAUUUUUUUUCAAAUAAACUAUUUGAAUUUGUUAGUACACCCAAACAUUCCUCACAAACCAUUAAUUUAAAUACAUGUCACAUUAAUGUAUUUUAGUGAUUCAUAAAUGUUCUGCUUUUUGGAGAAGUUGUUUUGCAUAUGCAUUCACACAAACCGCUACUUCUAUCCCUACCUUUUUUUAUGACAAAUUUCAAUUUUGAUUUUUUUUUUAAUCUGAUCCAGAAUGAAUAAAACAUAUCAAUCUAAAUUUCCUGUACAACAGACAUUAUAUUGUCUAGUUAUUCCAUUCUAUGUGUAUUUUUAAAAUUCCUUCUGUUAUAAGACUGUACCAGUCUGAAUAUCUGUUUCAUAUUAUGCAUAUUUAUGCCUGAAAUUUACAGUAAUUUGGGAACAAACACAUCUGUUUUUUGGUUAUUUAAACCUUUGAUUUUGUUUGUAGUUUAUCUGUAUCUGCAUGGACGGAAUAGCAUAAGAUAAAUUUUUUAAUAUUUGUUCAGAAGAUCUUGAUGACGCAGAAUGCAAACUAUUGUGUUAAAAAAAAAGCUCUUAGUGUUUCCUAAAUUAAAUAGACAAAUAUGUUUCUUUCCCUAUUUUAUGUGAAUAAAUAUAAAUAAUUUUUAUAUUAAUAAUUUCAUGUGAAAGACACACAUGCUAUUUCAUUUGAAAAUAGAGAAAAAGCAAAACAAAGUUGAAACUUUUUGCCAGAAGUCGUUAAUCUCAGCUUUAGUUUAUAUGCUAUGUAACAAGAUUAUUUUUAAUGAAGUAGAGAUGUGGAAUAGCAAGCUGCUCUGCUCAUAUCUUUGUUGUUUAUCUUGGAAAUGAUAAACUGAAAGAUGCAAAUGUGUUGUCUCCUAAUAGAAAUAUGUUUCUUUGAUUUGAUGUCUCCCCUCUUUGAGGAGACAUUACUGCAGAGGAGAUGAUAUCAAUGUCUCACUUUGGUAACCUUAAGGAGAAAGUAUAUACAUAUAUAGGAGAGACCUAUAAUGUUUCUACCUGCCAGAAUAAAUCAAGCUUCUGCAAGGAAAAAAUGUGCAAAAAAUCUGAUCCACCAGUCUUAUCUUUCUGGUGAUUAGCAAUCCAGUCAUCUGAGGUCAUCACGAUUAUUAACUUCACUGUUGUUUUAUAAUGCCCUAAAAGCUGAACUCAUCCUCUGUAUGAAAAUUCAGUUUUAGCUGUUACUUAAUAUAGCAAGGAAACUUUCUUUUGAAAAUCAUAAACAUCCCUUUGGGUGAGCUUAAAGAAAAUUUAAGAUUAAAUAACUCAUUAUGGAAAUAAGUAGUCUGUUAAAAAAAAAAUGAGGCACUUGAUUUUAUGAACUUAAUAGUAUUCCAUCUAAUCAUAAAGUAUAUUAGAAUGUUCAAAUUAUAAAGAAUAAAACAAAUUAAUAAUCUUUAAAAUGUCUGGUCAACUUCCCCAGAAAAUUUAAGAUCUACUGAUUUCAAGUCAGCUCACAAUGGUCAGGAGACUCUUUUAAAGUUUUACAGCCUUCUAAAAUUACAUCUGAAUUCAUGAACCAAGUGAUCUGUUAAGACUGGAAAAUAUUUUUGUUCAACUCUGCUCUACAUAAUUUCUGAAGUGAUGGUAGUCUGUAUAAAUCAGUUCACCAUGACAGUAUUCAGAAGAUUGAUACCACUGAUUAACAGUGUAUGCAGGAGACAAGGAGAGUCUUUAUAUCCUUUUCUUUCUCAAAUUAAGGACGUGAUUUUUAAUGCCUACUAAUCUCCAUCAUCACUCAGAAGAGAAAAUCCCUUAUGGGUUAUGGGGGUUUCCAGUCAACAUGCAACAGCCACUGCACACUCUGGCAGAGGAGGGGACUUGCCAUAAGCUGAUAUAAAUAUACACAGAGAAAAAGUGUCCUAUGCCUCUUUCCAUUUGGAAUUAUAACUAGUUUAAGCAUAAGACUUAUUCAAUUUGAAUAUUGAAUUUUCAUCUUGAUCAUGCACGGAGUAGAGGGGCAGGUGCUGGCCUCUUCUCUGAGUUGACCAGUGACAGGUCUUGAGGAAGCAGCAUGAAGCUGUGUCAGGUCAUAGGUUGGAUAUCAGGAAAAGGUUCUUCAUCCAGAGGGUAGCUGAGCACUGAACAGGCUCCCCAGGGAAGUGGUCAAGCACCAGCCUGACAGAGUUCAAGAGCAAUGCUCUAUGAUGUAAUUCUUGGGCUGUCUUUCGCAGGGUCAGGGGUCAGACUCAAUAACCUGAAUGGUUGUUUUUGAGUUUAGUACAUUAUAUGUGCUAAUUCUUGAUUCUUGAUUCUAUGAAAAUUCAGUAAAUAAGAUGACAAAAUCUAAAGACAAGAAGCUAACGAAUACAGAAAUUUUCUUCUUUAAAGAAAAUUUAUUCGGCACCAGAUAUAAGACAAAUGCAUUAGAGUCUGAAAUAUAUUAAAAAAGAAAAAAAGACACCCCCCCCCCAAACAUAAAACUAAGGAAGGAGCUUGUUAUGGUGCACUUUCUAUUAAUGUCAUUUGUAUCACAGUUAUCAAGUAGAUUUUCACUUGAUAUUUUGCACUGUAUCAAGUUUAUUUUAAUCAUGGUUAAUUGAACUGAUUAGCAGAUUUUCCUUAUUUUUUCUCUAGACAAUUCUUAAUGCAGAACAACUUCAAACUUAUAACUACCUUAGGAAACUCAUAUUAUUUUUUAAAAAAAUUUUGCUUUUUCUCCAUAAUCUAACCAUAUGCCUUUGAAGUUUCUACUUCACCAACAGGGUCUUAAUUCAUUGGUUGUCUUUUAACAUUUUUUUUAACGCGAUUUACCUUGGAGAGAACUCGAGCCAUAUUAUUGAUUUUUUCUGCUAUAUUUGCUCAUAUAUAAAGAUAAGUAAAAUAAAUUUAAGAUAGCUAAUUCCCUAUCCAAUUAUUCAAGCACUUCACUUAUAUAAUGUAACAUGUAGACAGAGAUGGCUGAUGCUGUUAAGUCUGUGUCAGGUAAAUUCUCCACCAUUAAGAGCCAUAUUAAAAUCAGAGAUUAUUACUGGAUAUUCUUCCUGACAUUCAGAGAUUAAAGUGUAACUUUUCAAGUGCUAUUGACACUAGAAAUUCUUGUUCAAAUAUUUAAAUCUGUCAGGUUUUGCUAUUCAGAAUCUAAUACAUAUAUAAUAUGUCCUAAACUUAUAAUGGUUCUUCAUCAGUUUAAGCCACUAAAUCUUUUAUUGGUUCAAUCAGAAAAAACAAACCCAAAAAUAAGGUAUGGAAUUAUGAUUCCAUUGAAUAAAAGACAGAUCUGUGACUUCUACAUAAUUCUGAGUGCCAGACCAGUGGUCAUGUCUUAUACACGGUGGAAGAGGGGCUCCAUCAGGUUUUCUCUAGGAUAAAGUGAGAUAGGUGUUACUUUGAGAAAGGUUUAGAUUAGAGCAUGAGAUUUGAGACUUGAUAGUAAAGAAAAAAUCCUCAAGAACUUUCUGAUGUUGGGAUUGGUACACAGUCAACAGGUACUGCUAUCCAUAGUCUGCAGUCUUAAAGAGCUCAUAGAGUACACAGUUUUUCACUGAAUGCUCAAGAGUGAGACCACAAGUUAAUAAUGGAUGCAGAAUUCAAAGCUAUUAAGCAAGCAGACAAAUAAACCCACAUUUAGUAACUCCGAAACAAAUGAUAUCACUAGCCUUUCUGAUUGAUAAAAGCUUCUCUUUUGCAUAGGUGGAGUAUGUUUGCUUCACUCAGUUGUCAAGACGAUAUGUGUGCUACAGUUCUUUUCUCUUCCUGUCUAUUUUUUUUCUUGUUUUACUCCUUUCUUAUCCUGUGUUUCCAAAAUGCAACUGCUUGUUUGUUUUUUCCCAGUCAUUGUCUGUGUUAGCAGAAGUCUAACCUGUCCUCAAGUCUUAGUGCCUGAAAGUUUUUGGAAGGAAAAAAUAAGUCUAUUUCUUCAAAUUUCGUUGUGCUUUCAGAGUGCUUGAUAUUUGGAUCAGUUCUGCAUGCCUCUUUCAGGAAAAAAAAAAAAAAAAAAAG